Molecule: long non-coding RNA, 3933 nt
Filed under: Trifolium pratense (red clover)
Lineage: Eukaryota; Viridiplantae; Streptophyta; Magnoliopsida; Fabales; Fabaceae
Description: long non-coding RNA (TPRA_LNC013906)
Source: RNAcentral
UUUGUUUUAUUCUUUUUGUUGAUGAUUUAUGUUCUUGAUUGUGUUUUCGUGUUUGGACUUUUGACUAAUUUGUAGAUCAUCUAUAUAGGUUUCAUUUUAUGUUAAUUAACAGCCUUUCCAGAAUGUUUUUCAGUGACCCUUUUACCUUAUGAACAUGGAGCAAACUGAGGGAGGGAUGAGAAGUGAAAUUGAUGAUUUAUGUUUUGAUGUCACUUCGAUGAUGAUGAUGAUGAUGAUGAUGAUGAUGAUGAUGAUGAUGAUAGUAACCCUUUCACAAUUAUUUCUCUCUUAUUAUUCCUUUUCAGAUAUGACAUAGAUAGAUGCUUUCUAUAUCAAAAUGGGUAAGGAAAAAGGGUAAGAGGUUUAUUUUUUAUGCUUUCUAUAUGGGUAAGUCAAAGGGUUUCCUUUCAAUUGUUAUUUUAUUUUAUUAUGAAAUUGUGACGUGAUGAUCUGUUGGGGAGGGAGAAGGAAAACAUCUCAGGUAGGUAUAAAGUUUUUACUGGUGAUUCAUUGCCGCUUCCUCCUUCUCAGGCUGGUUAGUUUUCAAUUGCAUUUCUAUAAAGUUUUAAACUUUCUUGUUUUUAGGUUAUAAAAAUUGAUGCUUUAUUAUGUGGUUUUAAUUUGGCCAAUUUAAUUUAUCUAUUUUUUGUUUCAGAAAAUGUUGGGUUUUGUUUAUUUGUUGUAUUCUUUUUGUUGAUGAUUUAUGUUCUUGAUUGUGUUUUGGUGGUUGGACUUUUGACUAAUUUGUAGGUGAUCUAUAGGUUUCAUUUUUUGGAGGUAGGUAUGUAAUUUUUUUUAUCGGGUUUGCGGAGGUUUGACACCGCCCGCCAAUGGAUGGUACUAACCAAACAAAACUUUCGUCAAGUUCUUCCUAGUUUCGACUGUUUCAGCUUUGACUGAGUUUCUAUUUUCUUUUAUUAUGCAAUUGUGAUUAAUGAUNNNNNNNNNNNNNNNNNNNNNNNNGAGCAGAAGAUACUAUAAGAGGCUGAAAGGGUAAUCAUAUCGGAAACAGAUCUUCCUCGUGACUUAGGUAUUUAGUUCUUCCUCAUGAUUUAGUCCUUUAAUUUGUAUUUCUUACUGGCUUUGAUUUAAUGUUUUUAGGUUGCUUCAGAUUUUAAACAAGUCUUGGGUACAUUCAGAAUUUUAAUUAAGCUAGGGAGUGAUUCGAUUGGAGCCCAUAUGAUCUCUAUGCCUUCAAGUAUUAACAAGGAUUAUGUUCCAGGACUAACCUUUUUAAUGGUUAUAUAGAAUAUGUAGGCAAGCUAUAAUCCUUGACUUAUAGAAAUUAAGAGUCUGUUGAUGAGAGGUACCAUUAUGAGAAUUCGUUGAGAUUCAUUGAUCAAAUUCCCCUUUGAAACUUUUUCCUUCAAUCCCUUUGAGGUACAAAUAUGUAUAUUAUCGAUGCUAAAGGAAAAUAGUAGUCGAAAAUAUCUCUAGUUAGUAUCUAGUUCCGGAGCAAAACUCCAACCCAGAGAAAUAUCUAUCUCUGAUCCUAACAGAAAAUAAUUCCAUCAUACCCUCCUUCAUUCCCUUAUUCUUAGUCACAUUCCCAUCAUUACGUGCCUAAUAUUUGUCAAAAAUUAUCAAGUGUAGGACAGUUGCUUGAAAAGGGUUCAUAAAUCAUCUUUAAGAAUAAUAUGUGUGUGCUUAAAUCUUUCGUCAAGUUCUUCCUAGUUUUGACUGUUUCAGCUUUGACCGAGUUUCUAUUUUCUUUUAUUAUGCAAUUGUGAUUGAUGAUAUGUUGGAGAGAAGAUGUAUUUUUUUUUACCGAUAUUAUUUUGUUUUUGUUUGAAUCCAUAACUACCUUGAUUGUCAGAGUCAAUGCAGGUACUACAGCUUGUGUAGGAUAAAAAUCAGUCUCGUCUCUUCAGGUCAUUAGAGGUAGUAUUAGUAGUGGAAAGUGCAUCAGUUUUUAUAUGGAUUUGUGUCUGGUUGCCUUCUCUUAUGUUCAUUUUUGUUGCUCACUUUCUUUUGAAAACAAAAAACAGAAAGGAGCAGAAUAUACUAUAAGAGGCUGAGAGGGUAAUCAUAUCUGAAACAGUUCUAGUUAUCGUUAUUGAAGUUCUCAAUGGGAUACAUUGCUUACCUAUGUUCUAGCUUCAAAAUAUCAUGUCCUUUUAUGUCAAACCUGUAUGACUUAGGUAUUUAGUUCUUCCUCGUUCUUCCCCAUGACUUAGGUAUUUAGUUCUUCCUCAUGAUUCAGUCCUUGAAUUUGUAUUUCUUACUGGCAUUGAUUUAAUGUUUUUAGGUUGCAUCAGAUUUUAAACAAGUCUGGGAUACAUUCGUAUUUUUUAUUAAGCUACGGAGUGAUUCGAUUGGAGCCUGUGUGAUCUCUAUGCCCUCAAGUAUUAACAAGGAUUAUGUUCCAGCACUAACCUUUUUAAUUGUUAUAUAGAAUAUGUAGGCAAGCAGCUUGUUAAUACUUGACUUAUAGAGAUUAAGAGUGUCUUGAUGAGAGGUGCAAAUAUGAGAGUUUGCAUGCUCAGAUUCAUUGAUCAACUUCUGCUCUGAGCCCUUUUUCUUUAAUCCCUUUGAGGUACAAAUAUGUAUAUUAUGGUAAAGAAAAAUAGUAGUAGAACAUCUCUCUAUUAGUAGCUUCUUCCAGAGGAAAGGUCCAGAGAAAUAUCUAUCUCUGGCCCUAACAGCAAAUAAUUCCAUCAUACCCUCUCUCUGGCCUAAUAUUUGUCAAAACUUAUUAAGUGUAGGAAGUUACUUGAAAAAGGGGUCAUACAUUAUCUUUAAGAAUAGUAUGUGUGUGAUUAAAUCUGCUGAUGCCUAAGAAUUGUUCAGCAUACCGAUGAAGGUUAAAAGAUUUUCAUUAUAGUUUGUUGCAAUGUGAGGAAGCUGCUGUUCUAAAAUCAAUUUCUGAUACUGAACGUUUAUUUUUUGGAAAUCAUUUCUGAUACUGAAGUUUGGCACUAGAGGAUGUGCCAUUUUUAUCAGGCAGAGAAGGUUGCAGUUGAUACAUACAGAUCUUGAGCAUAUAUUACAUACUCUUCAUGUAUGAAUUUACAAGGGUAUGCUGGAUUUAAUUUUUGAAGUAUGCUGGAUUUAAUUUUUGAAAUUUCAAGUUGCUGAUAUUUUAUGUAAAUUCAAAAAUUGGGUUGAAAAUCAGAGUGGAUGUAAAAUUCAAGUGUUAAAGAUCAGGUAAUGGAAUUUAAUACACCUAAAAAAUUCAAUUUGCUGUGUGAAGAGUGUGAAAUUACAUAUCAACUCACUGCUCAAUACUCAUUGCAGCAGAAUAGUGCCAGUAGAAGGAAGAAAAUAGGACCCUGUUGGAAAUGGCUCGAUACUUGCUAUACGAGAAAAAUACGCGUAAGAAAUUUUGUGCAGAUGCUGCAAGCACUACAAUGACUGAUAUUGGAGAGACGUCAUAUUUCUUGGGAAUGUAGGCUUAAGCAAUCAGAUACAGGAAUCCUUAUAUGUCGAUAGAUAUAUGCUGCUGAUGAGAUCCUAAAGAAGUUCAACAUGAGCAAAAGCAAGCCCAUGAUGAGAAUGAGAAGCUUAGCAAAGAAAAUGGGUCUAGAAGAGUUGAAGAAGCAUACAGAAGUUUAGUUAAUGUGCCUUACGUCAGGCUGUUAGUGUCCUUUCAAGAUUUCUGCGUUAUGCUAGUGAGGAACUUCUCAAGGCAGCAAAGAGUGUUAAGAUAUAUUAUCAAUGUAAUUACAAUAUAUUCAUGGUUUCUCAGAUAGGGAUUGGGUUGGAUCUAUUGAUUAUAUGCAAAGCACCUCUGGCUACUGUUUUUCAUUUGGUUCUGGAAUGUAUUCAUGGUGCUAAGAAGAGAAAGAAAUUGAUGCUCAAUUGACGGCGGCAGAGGGUGAGUUUCUAGCAGCAGCUGAAGCAGUUAACCAAGCCUUNNNNNNNNNNNNAUUGGAUUAGGAUUUCAUGGGAUUUUAAAAGACUUUUUUAUUUUAAAAAAGUCAUGUGGUAUUC